Long non-coding RNA from Myxocyprinus asiaticus (Chinese sucker), 1128 nucleotides. RefSeq lists it as uncharacterized. The record is from RefSeq and is a predicted model, not a curated record. The transcript has 3 exons. Lineage: Eukaryota; Metazoa; Chordata; Actinopteri; Cypriniformes; Catostomidae.
UGUUGGUAUUAAAAUUAGGCUUAUAAACUAUGUAUUGAGUUAUAUCUGAUGACUGAGGCUGCUGUUCUGCCUAACAUCUCCUUUUGUGUUCCACGGAGGAAAGAAAGUCAUAAGAAACAACAUGAGGUUUCAGGCCGGAGAGUGCUAUGCUGUCCUCUAUGAUCAACAUGGAAGUGGCUAACCACAAGGUGUGGUUGCUUAACCAUCUGAGACACACACAUACAGACUUCUACUGAUAAAAGAGGUCACUGGAAGACUCUUUAGGUUGUGAAUUCUCCCAAGAGCAAGAGACAAUGCAGAAUCUGCAAAGUGAGAAGACAGACUUUCUGCUGGAAGUGAUACAGGAGAAAAGAGAGAGGAAAGAGGAAGAAGAUAAUGACCCCUGCGCAAACACACAACCUGAAUUACUCAAAUCACUGCCCACAGGAUACAGGCCGGCCUGCGUUUACCUCACUGCUCUGCAGAAAUGUGCAACUGCCAGUAUGAACAUAAACAUCUUGCUGAAAUCCUCACUUUAUCAGGUGGCUGACAUUCACACAAGGAGGCUUAAAGAAAACAAAUGUUGGCUGCAGAGAAACUUUCUCCCAAGAGAGUCUGGAUGUGAACUUUCAACAGUUGGUUUCACAAGCGCUGUUGCAUAAACGUACUCAUUUUUGCUGUAAAGAGGUGAGAGGGGAACCAAAGUGACAAGAAGAGACGUGCGUCUCUCUUUAGCCUGUCUUUACUCUUUCACCUACUUUCCUGGCAGUGGCUGAACAGAAACAAGGACUUUUAUUACAUUAUAUGAAUACUUUCUUGUAAACUAAAACCUGCUUUGCAAGCUCUCUGACAAAAGGUAACAAACAAACAACCAUCAAUAAUAGCAUACAGAUAAUGCUCAAAAACAUUACAAUGACAUUGUAGUCAAAUUACCAGGCCCAGAUGGAAACUGCACACUUUACAAAUGUUUCUAGUUUUUUCUGGGGGUGGAAUAGAUUUAUUUUAUAUUGUUUAAGUUAGAUCAAAUAAGAAUGAUCAAAUUAGCCAAAAUAUUUCAUAAACCAACAAGCAGGGGCGGGUGAUGUGAAGAACAUUGUGAAUGUAAUGAUUCUGAACAUCUGUCAUAGAAAACAAAUUACUAAGUAAACA